Molecule: ribosomal RNA, 619 nt
Filed under: uncultured organism
Description: bacterial SSU rRNA
Rfam family: Bacterial small subunit ribosomal RNA
Source: RNAcentral
UAGCAAUAUAGCGAGUAAAGCGGCGACAGGGUGCGUAACGCGUAAGCAACUUGCGCAUAGGAUGGGGAUAACGUCGAGAAAUCGGCGCUAAUACCCAAUAAUGCAGCGGCAUCGCAUGAUGAUGUUGUUAAAGGUCGCUUCGGUGGCGCCUAUGGAUGGGGUUGCGUCUGAUUAGUUAGUUGGCGAGGUAACGGUUCACCAAGACGACGAUCAGUAGCUGGUCUGAGAGGAUAGAUCAGCCACACUGGAACUGAGACACGGUCCAGACUCCUACGGGAGGCAGCAGUGAGGAAUAUUGGGCAAUGCCCGCAAGGGUGACCCAGCAACGCCUGCGUGUAGGACGACAGCCGUAAGGUUGUAAACUCCUGUUCGGGGGGACGAAUAACCGUCGUUUGCAAAGGUGACGGCUUGAUGGUACCCUCAGAGAAAGCCCCGGUUAACUACGUGCCAGCAGCCGCGGGAAUAACGUAUGGGGCACACGUUGUCCGGAUUUACUUGGGUGUAAAGGUGCGCGCAGGCGGGUCGGUCAGUCAGAGGUGAAAGCCCACAGCUUAACUGUGGAACUGCCUUUGAUACUGCCGAUCUUGAGUGCGGGAGAGAGAAGCGGAAUUCCAGGUGU